Long non-coding RNA from Raphanus sativus (radish), 838 nucleotides. RefSeq lists it as uncharacterized. The record is from RefSeq and is a predicted model, not a curated record. The transcript has 2 exons. Lineage: Eukaryota; Viridiplantae; Streptophyta; Magnoliopsida; Brassicales; Brassicaceae.
UUAUAAAAAUUAAAAUUAAAAAUCAACAGCAAUCAAUUAUUAUAAUAUUAUUAUUUUAUAAAUAUUUAGAUACGUGUAAUAAAUAGAUUAGGUGAUUGCUGAUAUGAUUAGUAUCGUAAAGCCCGUGAUAAUAAAAAGGCCCAAUAUUAGUUUUCAGUACUUGUUUGUUUCAGCUUCUUCUACGCAAAGAGUACGGACACAUCGGAGGAGAUCAAUGGAGUCUUACGACGAAGACAACAGGCCUAGAUUCGUCUUCCGAUCUCGUCCUUCCUCUGCUCUCACGGCGGAGGAAAACGUCCCUAAACCACCGAACAAGAUCUUCAUCUCAGUCUCCGUCGUUAUCUCUCUCAUCGUUAUGUCCCUCUCCUUCUUCUACUUCGAAUCCGAGCCUACCAAAUCGCUCCUCUUAUGGCUCUCAAUCUCCGUCCUCGUCGGUCCUUUCGCGCCUUCUUCUCUCACCGGCGGUAGAAUCCGCGUCGGUUACGGUCAGAUCUUGGAGCAAGAUCAGAUCAACGAAGAUCUCUCGAGGAGGAACAAACGAUCUAACAAAAUGGCGCCAAUGAGCUAGGCAUUGAGGGAUAUCUGAUCUGAUUGGGGCAAAUAUGGUGAGAGGGAGAAGAUUUUUGUUGUUGCUGCUUUAGUUUUCUAGACUACGCGGGGAAAGUGUCUUUCUAGACAUACAAAAAAACAUAUCAAUAUGCCACAGGAAGUAACAUAGAUUUUUUUUGAGCAACUAUAAACAUAAUAUUAUUUUUGCAAUUACUAUUAUUCUUUAUUUAUUUAUUUUGGUUUAAAAACAUAAUAUAAUUUAACAAUAAUUUUUUUCCUUUUUUUAGAA